RNAcentral lists this unclassified non-coding RNA (332 nucleotides) under soil metagenome. RNAcentral's name for it is "partial contains 5.8S ribosomal RNA, internal transcribed spacer 2, and large subunit ribosomal RNA". The stretch from base 1 to 120 matches the Rfam family "5.8S ribosomal RNA", at positions 35 to 154 of the family's 154-position model. The record is from RNAcentral.
GAUGAAGAACGUAGCAAAAUGCGAUAAGUAAUGUGAAUUGCAGAAUUCAGUGAAUCAUCGAAUCUUUGAACGCACAUUGCGCCCCUUGGUAUUCCGAGGGGCAUGCCUGUUCGAGCGUCAUUAUCACCCCUCAAGCUCAGCUUGGUGUUGGGGCCGGCCCGUCACAGGGCCGCCCCUAAAAGCAGUGGCGGUGCCAUCUGGCUCUACGCGUAGUAAUACUCCUCGCGACAGAGUCCCGGUGGUGUCCUGCCAGAACCCCCCAUCUUUUUAAUGAUUGACCUCGGAUCAGGUAGGGAUACCCGCUGAACUUAAGCAUAUCAAUAAGCGGAGGA